Molecule: long non-coding RNA, 796 nt
Filed under: Mytilus galloprovincialis (Mediterranean mussel)
Lineage: Eukaryota; Metazoa; Mollusca; Bivalvia; Mytilida; Mytilidae
Source: RNAcentral
GUUAUUGUUCAUGUAUUAUUUUUGUCGUCUGUACGACGACUUCAUGCAUAUAGCAUAUAAAUUUAGUUAGACAUUAAGGCAUGAGAAACACGUAACAUAGAAUCCCAGUAAAAACCUUAAAAAUAAUCAAAACAUUUUUUAAGGUAACCACUUUGUAUAAACAAAUGUCCUGGUGGCAAUACAAAAUCUAAAAUCAAACCAACAGGAAACAGGUCACCAAAAGUAUAACACACAUCACUUCCUUUAACUAAUCAGUAUGUUAUCGGUUUCGCUUUCUUUGCAGAACAACGAGUACUAUGGGCAAUAAGCUUAAACACACCUGAAAUAUUUAAACACUAUAAUAGUAAAGCUGCUUAGUUUAAUGCUUACAUUCUUGAUAGUCACAUUGGCUUAUGUAAAUAUAUUCCUUUUAUAGUUUUCGAUGUACAAAUGCAAAAAAAAAAAAACAUUAAUUAAAAAUAAAGUUAAAAAAAAAUAAAAAUAUUUAUUGUAGUACUGAUUAUCAUGAUUGGUGAUGGAAAACCACAAUGUUAUUUUCUGCCUCCCAUAAAAUACAGGCUGUUAGAAAUCCUAGUUUAUCAUUGUAUGUGUGAUCGUUGAAUUCACGUUUUGUGGAACGACAUUAUAUAAAAAAGACUCUGAGGAUGUUCAUGAUAUUGUCUUUUAGUUUGUAGUGAUAGUUUUAGAUAUUUAGUUGAUAUUUGACUGCUUCCUUUAUGCCUUAUUUGCUAUGUUAAAUUUGAGAAUGAAAAUGGGGAAAGUGUCAAAGAGCCAACAACCCGACCAAAGAGCAGAC